ACUAAUGCCAAUGAUCAGCAAGCCAAGCCUUAGCAUGUGGGCCCAUGGCCGGCUCAUGGGUCCCUACACCUUUUCAUAAUAUUCAAUGACAAAAAAGACUUAGAAGUAAAACUUUUUCCACAAGGAAGAAGCAGUAAUAUCCAC
Molecule: long non-coding RNA, 144 nt
Organism: Oryctolagus cuniculus (rabbit)
Lineage: Eukaryota; Metazoa; Chordata; Mammalia; Lagomorpha; Leporidae
Source: Rfam